CCGGUUGAUCCUGCGGGAGAUUGCUGCUAUUCGAGUUCGACUAAGGCAUGCAAGUCGCCUCAUCUUCGGAUGGGGGGCAUAAGGCUCAGUAACAUGUCGCUAAUCUGCCCUUACGUUUUGGAUAACCUCGGGAAACUGUGGCUAAUACAAAAUAGGAAAUAAUGACUGGAAUGUCUCUUUUCUGAAAGGUAACGCGUAAGGAUGAAGCGGCACCAGAUUAGGUUGUUGGCGGGGUAGAGGCCCACCAAGCCUAUGAUCUGUACGGGUCCUGAAAGGGAUAGCCCGGAGAAGGACACUGAGGAACUGGUCCUAGCCCUACGGGGUGCAGCAGCUGCGAAACCUUUACAAUGCACGCAAGUGUGAUAGGGGGACUCGAAGUGCUUACGCUUUGCGUAGGCUUUUGCCAUUGGUAAAAACAAUGGCGAAUAAGUGGUGGGUAAGACUGGUGCCAGCCGCCGCGGUAACACCAGCGCCACAAGUGGGAAUCGGCAUUAUUGGGCUUAAAGCGUUCGUAGCCGGUUAGGUCAGUCUUUUGUGAAAUCGUUGUACUCAAUGCAACGGCGUGCAGAAGAUACUGCCUAACUAGGGACCGGGAGGGGUCAGGAGUAUGCCUGGGGGAGCGGUAAAAUGCUAUAAUCCUAGGUAGACUACCUUUGGCGAAGGCGCCUGACUAGAACGGGUCCGACGGUGAGGAACGAAAGCUGGGGAGCGAUCCGGAUUAGAUACCCGAGUAGUCCCAGCCGUAAACGCUGCCAACUAGAUGUUGCGCAUGCUUCGAGCAUGUGCAGUGUCGAAGGGAAACUAUUAAGUUGGCCGCCUGGGAAGUAUAGUCGCAAGACCGAAACUUAAAGGAAUUGGCGGGGGAGCACUACAACGGGUGCGGCGUGCGGUUUAAUCUAACUCUACACAGAGAAUCUCACCAGCGGCGACGGCAGGAUGAAGGUCAGAUUAAAGGUUUUACCUGACGAGCCGAGAGGUAUUGCAUGGCCGCCGUCAGCUCGUACCGUGAGGUGUCCGGUUAAGUCCGGCAACGAGCAAGACCUGUGCCCACAAUUGCUAACGAGCUCUGCGAUCGAGCACAUUGUGGGGACUGCCGUGGAAACGCGGAGGAAGGUGCAGGCAACGGUAGGUCUGUAUGGUCCGAAUCUGCUGGGCUACACGCGCGCAACAAUGGUAGGCACAAUGGGCUGCGACUCCGAAAGGAGAAGCUAAUCCUCGAAAACCUAUCUCAGUUCAGAUUGAGGCUUGUAACUCAGCCUCAUGACGUCGGAAUCCGUAGUAAUCGGAGGUCAUCAGCUUCCGGUGAUACGUCCCUGCUCCUUGUACUCACCGCCCGU
Molecule: ribosomal RNA, 1337 nt
Filed under: uncultured euryarchaeote
Lineage: Archaea; Methanobacteriati; Methanobacteriota
Description: bacterial SSU rRNA
Rfam family: Archaeal small subunit ribosomal RNA
Source: RNAcentral